CCUACGGGAGGCAGCAGUGGGGGAUAUUGCACAAUGGGGGAAACCCUGAUGCAGCGACGCCGCGUGUGGGAAGACGGCCCUCUGGAUUGUAAACCACUGUCCCCAGGGACGAAGAUGACGGUACCUGAGUAGGAAGCUCCGGCUAACUACGUGACAGCAGCCGCGGUAACACGUAGGGACCGAGCGGUGUCCGGAUUUCCUGGGUGUAACGGGAGCGUAGGCGGGGAUGCAGGUUGGGUGUCAAAACUACCGGCUCAACUGGUAGUCGCACUCAAAACUGCAGCUCUUGAGUGAAGUAGAGGCAGGCGGAAUUCCUAGUGUAGCGGUGAAAUGCGUAGAUAUUAGGAGGAACACCAGUGGCGAAGGCGGCCUGCUGGGCUUUUACUGACGCUGAGGCUCGAAAGUGUGGGGAGCAAACAGGAUUAGAUACCCUAGUAGUC
Molecule: ribosomal RNA, 440 nt
Filed under: uncultured bacterium
Lineage: Bacteria
Description: partial 16S ribosomal RNA
Rfam family: Bacterial small subunit ribosomal RNA
Source: RNAcentral